AAACCAUGCAUUGGGAAUUUUCUAAUUAAUUCCUUGAAUCGCUACCAUGCUUCAUAUAAUGUUUCAUCCUAAAAUUGUCAAAAGGACAUAAUAUCAUUCCUCAAUUU
Molecule: non-coding RNA, 107 nt
Organism: Gossypium arboreum
Lineage: Eukaryota; Viridiplantae; Streptophyta; Magnoliopsida; Malvales; Malvaceae
Source: Rfam